RNAcentral lists this long non-coding RNA (598 nucleotides) under Homo sapiens (human). RNAcentral's name for it is "non-protein coding lnc-WDR18-2:1". Lineage: Eukaryota; Metazoa; Chordata; Mammalia; Primates; Hominidae. The record is from RNAcentral.
GAGAAUUGCUUGAAUCCAGGAGGCAGAGGUUGCAGUGAGCCGAGAUUGCAGCACUGCACUCUAGCCUGGGUGACAGAGGGAGCCCCCGUCUCAAACAAACAAAAAGCAGGCAUGGUAGGCUGCUCAUGAGUGUGGGUGAGAUGGGGGCCCGUGGCACGUGGGGCCGUGAGGGUUGGUGUCCAGCUUUACCUCCCUCUCCAAGCUGGGAAUUCCUACAGGACAGGAGACAGCGAGCUCCUAUGCGUCCCUCAAAACCCAGCCUCAAAGCUCCCUCUUCCUUGGCUUCCUCCAGGAGCUUCCUGCUCUGUAAUGGGGGCCCUUGGAGCUGAGAAUCCGUCAGGUGAACCUGCCCAUCACCCUAGACUUCACAAUCUUCCUCUCCUUCACUCCAGACAGAGAGAAAUAAUUUUUUUUUUCCCCUGUGUCACAAAGUAAAAAACUCUAACUAAAUUUCUCAGAAUUCUCUGGGGGCUAGAAGUGAGGGAGGGGUCCUGACCACACCCUCUCCCCUCAGCAGCAGCAGCUGGACCACCUGACCUGCUGUUCCCUGACAACCUCCCCACCCUUCCUUAUCUGGGCCCCACGACGGGCCCUGGUG